RNAcentral lists this ribosomal RNA (424 nucleotides) under Verrucomicrobiota bacterium. RNAcentral describes it as "Verrucomicrobia bacterium partial 16S ribosomal RNA". It matches the Rfam family "Bacterial small subunit ribosomal RNA", at positions 355 to 776 of the family's 1533-position model. Lineage: Bacteria; Pseudomonadati; Verrucomicrobiota. The record is from RNAcentral.
CGAGGAAUAUUGGUCAAUGGGCGAGAGCCUGAACCAGCCAAGUAGCGUGCAGGAUGACGGCCCUAUGGGUUGUAAACUGCUUUUAUAUGGGAAUAAAGUGAGGGACGUGUCCCUUAUUGCAUGUACCAUACGAAUAAGGACCGGCUAAUUCCGUGCCAGCAGCCGCGGUAAUACGGAAGGUCCAGGCGUUAUCCGGAUUUAUUGGGUUUAAAGGGAGCGUAGGCUGUUUGUUAAGCGUGUUGUGAAAUGUAAGAGCUCAACUUUUAGAUUGCAGCGCGAACUGGCAGACUUGAGUGCGCACAACGUAGGCGGAAUUCAUGGUGUAGCGGUGAAAUGCUUAGAUAUCAUGACGAACUCCGAUUGCGAAGGCAGCUUACGGGAGCGCAACUGACGCUAAAGCUCGAAGGUGCGGGUAUCGAACAGG